UCACAGAAGAGAGAAAAAAAGGAGUUCAGUUAAAUGCAGAUUUAUUCAGGAUGAUGUUAUGAACUCUGCUCCACGCCUCUAAAAUUACCCAUUAAUGACUACGCACUAAUUACCCACCUUUGUAUUGUUCUAGAAAGGAAGAGAUUCAUUCUCCCUGGAGCGGAAUAGGUAUUCGGUGAGAGGAUGCGCCGCGCGUGCUUUAGGGCGGACCAAAACAGCCCUCCUUUUUGGUAAAAUCAUGAAGAGGCCGGGACGGCUCCACAGAGCUUUGCCCUAAAACCACCUCAAAAAUGAAGGCUCUUUUCCCUUCUGGAGGUUUUCCCUGCCUUCAUCAGAACAGGGUAGUUUGUAACCGAACCCUGGCACCUGCGGGCUGCUCGGGUCUGGCGAGGGUCUCAUGCCCGUGGUGUUUGCGUUGUUUUGCUCCUGGGGGCGGGAGGGGACGCUUAUUCCCUCCGAGGGCCGCUGUUGGCACCGGCUCCGUGCUGAGCCACCGAUGUUCAGGCCACAGCUGUUCCCCGUGUCAAGGACAGGGCAAGGUCGUGGCCAAGGCAACAGGUGAAGCAGGAGGGUGUGUCCCUGGGGUCGGGCGCAUCUGUCCAUGUGUCUGUCCCGGGGCGGGGGGGGGGUGAAUCAGUCCAGGUUCCCACUGCGGUCCUGCUCCCAACGUCUGCCCUGCCUCCAGAAUUUCAAUUUCCUACAUCUUGAUGUUCAAGCCUAAGGCUUCCAGACUUGCUGGUCUAUCUAUGCAAUGGCACGGAAGGCCCUUGUCAAAGCACACGUUCCAGUUUUUGGUUCACGGGUGUGCUCGACGGACCCUCGGAGCAAGGAAUGAAGAAGACCGUCGCGUGGCCCGGGAAAUGGGGGUCGGGUGUUCGAGGAGCAUCUGAGUCCCUGGAAGACCGGGGGGUCGUCCCCAGCAGGUGCCAAGGACUGAAGGCCCCAAGGAGUCAGCAGUGAGGUCCUUGUCCUGGGAGGAGGGAGCUGCUAGCGUGCAUUUCCGGAGCAUCUCGCAGGUGAGGGCGCCGUGCGUGGCACGGGGCGAGGACCAGGGAAGGAACACGCGCGGGGCUGGCGGCUUUGAGGAACUUGGAGCCUGGCGGGGAGCUCACCACAGCGGAGUCACUUCAUUCUGGCUCCGCUGGGAGGGAGGCCGUGUGUCUGCUGGUGGGUCAUUCCAUCGGAGUCCUCCAAGAUCCAGGAGGGGACGGAGACCUGGCUGUUCCGUCCCAAGAGCCAGGAGGCACUCAGUGGCAGGUGCGCGCACGAGCACGCAACCUGGAGAGAGCAGGACAUCUGGGAGUCACAUGGUCUCUGUGCCCAGGAAGUCACCCAGGAGGCAGCCUGGGAUUAGGGCACAGUCAGUGUGCCCAGAGGGAUAAGGCGAGGGGUGCCAGGCAGGGGGGGGCAUCCCGCAGCGAGCGCCCACGAAGACGCGAUGGCGGGGAGGAUCAAACACUCCACGUGCGAGCUCCCAAAGGCCAGAAUGGGCACAGGGACACGCACAGGGGUGUGCUGUCCUGUGUGCGGGGACGGGGGCUUGCGUUUGGCGGGAGAGCGCUAACCAGACUUCGGGUCACCACUGUCAAAGCGGCUUGUUCUUCCCCGAGCUGGGUCGGUCCUAGUGCAGCAAGGGCAGGCUUUUCCCGGACCGGGAGGGAGGAAGUGACCGGGGGAGAGCAGCAGGCUCGUUUUGCCAUAAGUUUGGGUGGUGGGGGGAUUUCCUUGCUACGGUCACCAGUCUGCCGAUUCCUAGGGAAGGAACAAGUCCUGGGGUCCCUGGGGGGCUCAGUCGGUUGAGCGUCCGACUUCGGCUCAGGUCAUGAUCUCGCGGUUCGUGGGUUCGAGCCCCGCGUCGGGCUCUGUGCUGACAGCUCGGAGCGUGGAGCCUGCUUCGGACUCUGCGUCUCCCUCUCUCUCUCUGCCCCUCCCCCCGCUCAAGCUCUAUCUCUGUCUCUCUCUCAAAAAUAAAUAAACAUUAUAAAAAAAAAAAAAAAAAGAAGAAGGAGCAAGUCCUGUAGGAGGGAAGCCGGGUACGAGACACCGGGGGGAGGUCAGAUGUCAGAUGGCAGGCACUGAGCUGCCGAGGGGACUCGGCCCCGUCUGCCCUCCCUGCCUGUCUGGGCGACUCUAACAGAGCACCCCAGACCGCGUGCUUACAGCCAAAAGACAUUAAUUUCUCACGGUUCUGGAGGGUGGUUGGCCUGGUUCAUAGCCGGUAUCCCCUCUCUGUGUCCUCGGGUCGCAGAAUGGGGGCUCUUUCGGCAUAAGGACACUGAUCCCUCGUAACCUGACCGCCUCCCAGAGGCCCCGCCUCCUGACACCAUCCCCCUGGGGUUGGAGGAGACAACAACUCGGGUCAAUGACAUCGUCUUCCUACUUCACUGCUGUCCUGAUGUCCCCGGAGGAUGUGCACCUGGUGUGGAGCUGGACGGGGCUCGGAAUUCCCAAAAGUAUUUUCACUUUCCGUACGGUUUCUCAUCC
Long non-coding RNA from Acinonyx jubatus (cheetah), 2484 nucleotides. RefSeq lists it as uncharacterized. NCBI's taxonomy places the organism in Eukaryota, Metazoa, Chordata, Mammalia, Carnivora, Felidae. The transcript has 3 exons. The record is from RefSeq and is a predicted model, not a curated record.